This 497-nucleotide ribosomal RNA is filed under the name uncultured bacterium. RNAcentral's name for it is "partial 16S ribosomal RNA". It matches the Rfam family "Bacterial small subunit ribosomal RNA", at positions 28 to 507 of the family's 1533-position model. The record is from RNAcentral.
GAUGAACGCUGGCGGCGUGCCUAAUACAUGCAAGUCGAGCGAACAGACGAGGAGCUUGCUCCUCUGACGUUAGCGGCGGACGGGUGAGUAACACGUGGAUAACCUACCUAUAGGACUGGGAUAACUUCGGGAAACCGGAGCUAAUACCGGAUAAUAUAUUGAACCGCAUGGUUCAAUAGUGAAAGACGGUUUUGCUGUCACUUAUAGAUGGAUCCGCGCCGCAUUAGCCAGUUGGUAAGGUAACGGCUUACCAAGGCAACGAUGCGUAGCCGACCUGAGAGGGUGAUCGGCCACACUGGAACUGAGACACGGUCCAGACUCCUACGGGAGGCAGCAGUAGGGAAUCUUCCGCAAUGGGCGAAAGCCUGACGGAGCAACGCCGCGUGAGUGAUGAAGGUCUUCGGAUCGUAAAACUCUGUUAUUAGGGAAGAACAAAUGUGUAAGUAACUAUGCACGUCUUGACGGUACCUAAUCAGAAAGCCACGGCUAACUACGUG